GAGUUUGAUCCUGGCUCAGAGCGAACGCUGGCGGCGUGCUUAACACAUGCAAGUCGAGGGAGAACGGAGGGCUUCGGCUCUCUUAGUAAACCGGCGCACGGGUGAGUAACACGUAGGUAACCUACCUCCGAGUUCGGGAUAACCUGUCGAAAGAUAGGCUAAUACCGGAUAAGACCACGAUGGUUUCGGCCACUGCGGUCAAAGAUGGCCUCUAUUUAUACGCUAUCGCUUGGGGAUGGGGCCUGCGCACCAUUAGCUAGUUGGUGAGGUAAUGGCUCACCAAGGCUACGAUGGUUAGUUGGUCUGAGGGAUGACCAGCCACACUGGGACUGAGACACGGCCCAGACUCCUACGGGAGGCAGCAGUGGGGAAUAUUGCGCAAUGGGGGAAACCCUGACGCAGCGACGCCGCGUGGGUGAUGAAGGCCUUCGGGUCGUAAAGCCC
Molecule: ribosomal RNA, 444 nt
Filed under: uncultured delta proteobacterium
Lineage: Bacteria; Deltaproteobacteria
Description: bacterial SSU rRNA
Rfam family: Bacterial small subunit ribosomal RNA
Source: RNAcentral